AUUGUCGCGUAACUUAGUGCGAUUUAAGUCACGCUGGUUGCUGGCUCACGAUUCAAGACACUUCACACGUGGGACUGUAUUUUUUGUAUAUAUUUAUUAAGUACAGAUAUUUACACUUGUUUAGUGCACGUCGUUUUACAAUGAUGUAAUUACAAUUACCCAACACGAUUCUCAACUCUCAAUUUGCGAUUCAAAAUAACACACACACAUAACGCGUUCAACACGACAAUAACCAAUACCAAUCACCAAACCCAAUAAUCAAUAAUACACUUUUUAGCCUAUAUUUAUAUUAACAGAACAGGAAUACAUAUUUUCUCUACCACAACUUCCCUUACGUAAAUGGAACACGUUUAUUGCUAUUUUGUUCCCUUUUUGUGGUUCUUAAUCCAAUUUUGAUCUACCACACCAUCCCAUGCAAGUCAUGUCCGUGACGUUCUAAUGUGGGAUUCUAGGUGUUCCCAUUACGAUGCAAUUUUAUAGUGUCCUGUAUCACGUUUAAUGAUACAAAUAAUGUUCUCUCUCU
Molecule: long non-coding RNA, 523 nt
Filed under: Paramuricea clavata
Lineage: Eukaryota; Metazoa; Cnidaria; Anthozoa; Malacalcyonacea; Plexauridae
Source: RNAcentral